CAAAGGUCGAAAGGCAUGGCGGGUGAGUGAGUACCCGCUUGUUAGGGGGCGGGGUUAGGGUCAUCCAGGUGUUUUGUUCUUACAAUCCCGGCUGUUGUUUAUUAUAAAAGUUAGAGAAUUGGGCGUGGCAGGUUAGGGAAGUAGGGGCGAAGAUGUCUUAAGGCUGCUUCCUGCUGGCCUGGGGCGUUGAUCGUCUUUGGGAGGUUGGGGGUGCUGCCACGUCCUGGAGUUGAUUGUUGUUUCAUUGUAGUCCGGGCCACUCUGGUGCCUUUUAGUCCUGGCAAGAUGUUUGUUGAAUAGAGGACAAGGUUAAGUUUAGGAAAAAAAUUUGGCGCCCUGGACGUGGGAAGGCUCUGCCCUUGGUACCCCCUCCACAUCCCGCUGGCGGGUACGUGUUGGGUCAAGGGCAUCCUUAUCACGAGGAUAAACAAUCCACAUUCCAGAUCACCGGUUUGCUGGAUUCUACAUACAACACCGGACCCAAUUCGCUUGUUAGGGGGCGGGGUUAGGGUCAUCCAGGUGUUUUGUUCUUACAACCACCCCUGAUUUCAAGCUCUACUACAGAGCUAUAGUAAUAAAUACCACAUGGUAUUCCUAUAAAAACACACAGGUGGAUCAAUGGAAUUGAAUCGAAGACCCAGAAGUAAGUCCAAACAUAUAUGGAUACCUGAUUUUCAAUAAAGAAGCCAAAAUUAUACAAUGAAAAAAAAAAAAAGAAAAAAGAAAGCACCUUCAACAAAUGGUGCUGGCAAAACUGAAUGGCACCAUGUAGAAGAAUCCAAAUAGAUCCAUAUCUAUCACCAUGCACAAAACUUAAGUCUAGGUGAAUCAAAGAUUUCAAUAUAAAUCCAGAUAUACUGAGCCUGAUAGAAGAGAAAGUGGGGAAUAGCCUUGAACAUGUUGACACAGAAGACAACAUCCUGACUAUAAAUAACACCAGUAGCACAGACACUGAGAUCUACAAAUAAUAAAUGGGACCUCCUGAAACUGAAAAACUUCUGUAAAGCAAAGGACACUGUCAAAGACAAAAUGACAGCCUACAGAAUGGGAAGAUCUCCACCAACCCCACAUUUCACAGAGGGCUGAUCUCCAAAAUAUAUAAAGAAUUCAAGAAACUAGACAUCAAAAUACCAAAUAAUACAAUUAAAAAGGGGUACAGAUCUAAACAGAGAAUUCUCAAUAGAAAAAUCUGAAAUGGCUGAUAUACACCGAAAGAAAUGUUUAACAUCCUUAGAUAUCAGGGAAAUACAAUCAAAACAGCUCUGGAAUUCCAUCUUACAGCUGUCAGAAUAACUAAGAUCAAAACCACAAAUGGUGGCUCGUGCUGGUGAAAAUUGGAUCAAGGGGGAACACUCCUCCAUUGCUAGUGGGAGUGCAAACUUGUACAGCCACUUUGGGAAUCAAUAUGGCAGAUUCUCAGAAAAUUGGGACUCAACCUAUCUUAAGACUCAGUUAUACCCCUCCUGAGCAUAUACCCAAAGAAAGCUCCACCAUACCACAAGGACACUUAUUCAACUAUGUUAUGUUCAAAGCAACUGAAAACAACCUAGAUGUCCCUCAACAGAAGAAUGGAUAAAGAAAAUGUGGUACAUUUGCACAAUGGAGUAUUACUCAGUGUUAAAAACAAUGACAUCAUGAAAUUUGAAGGCAAAUUGAUGGAAUUAGAAAAAAAUCAUCCUGAGUGAGGUAACACAGACCCAGAAAGACAAACAUGUGUUAACUCGAUGAAGAUGUAUAAUGAAAAGGAGCAAGCAGAGAAAGGAAAAAUAUACAAUGUACAAUUUGAGGAGAAGGAGAACCAGGCAGUGGACUGGAGCUAAGUCCUGUGUUCAAGAAGAUAAACAGAUGAAGAAAUGGAAUAAAGAGAGUGGUGAUCCCAUGAAGCUAAGUUUCCAACUAAAGGAAUUAAAGACAAGCUUAGAACUAGGUGUGGUGGUGUAUGUCUGAAGAGACCAGCUUCCCUUUUGGCAGCCAUAACAGCUGAACACGUGCUUGCUAUAACCUUGUCUUGGUCACUUAGAGGUCAGAUGCCUGCCUCGUGGCAAGGAAGCAAUCAGAAGUUAGCUGGUGGUGCUAUGCUUUAUGGCUCUGGGUGUGCUUUAUGGACAAGCGCACAGCAAUGGCGCACAGAGCAUAGUAACCACCCUGGGAGGGCCUAUGGGCCAUAACCAGUUGACCAAUCAAUACAAGGCAAACCCUCCAAGCCUGGAGGCACACCAAUCCUGAACCUGUGUGUACCCCUACACACUCCCCUUACGCUGCCCUAUAAAGAUCUGUAUGCAGUGGCUUCGAACUGUCUUUGUUAGCCAUCCGACAUGGCAGGUGGAUCAAAGACCCGAGCUAACAUGGGGUUAGCUCGUUAAACUACAAUAAAGCCUCAUGCAAUUUGCAUCAAGCUUUCGCCUCCAUUCUAUGAUGGGGUGGCCGUGGUCCUGGGCUAAGAUCCUGGAAGCCUGAGCUUUUCGAGGGUUUUACAUGUCUUUAAUACCAGCCCUUUAGAGGAAGAAGCUGCUGGAUGUCUGAGUUUGAGGCCAGCCUUAUCUACAGAGUGAGCUCCAAGAUAGCCAAACUUAGGUGGAGAAGGUUACCAGAAAUGCUCAAGCUAUGCCCAGUGUGGUAGACAGUUCACUUCCUGCUGCCUUUGAAUCAAAAUGUAAAACUCUCAGCUCCUUCUCCAGCACCAUGUCUGCCUGCAUGCCACCUACCAUGAUGAUGAUGGACUAAACCUCUGAACUGUAAGAUAGCCAAUUAAAUGUUUUCUUUUAUAAAAAACUGCUAUAGUCAAUAGUAACUUCACAAUUAUAGAAACCCUAACUAAGACACAGGUGAAUGGAUACAACAGAGCCACUAGAUGUUCCACCCCGGCCCACCCAUCAAAACAGGAAACAAGAACAUUUUCUGAAGGGCUUUAAGCAACAGGAGACAAGAGGCCAUUGUGAGGUGACUAUAAAGGGCAGAGGAGCCCUCAGGCUACAGUGGAUCCUUCAGAGGGCUACAGGUCAUGUGCCACCUGCAAGUUCUUCUCGAUUGUCUUGAAUAAGUGGUUCAGCUUGUACUGUUUUACUUAGGAAAUUCUUCGAUAUAAGAGGAAAUCUGACUUUAGCAAGGAUAUCAACCAUAAAUGGCUGGUAAUUAGGCUCAUCGUAUUUUAACCACCUCACUGCAGCGUCAUAAACCUGGUCCUCUGCUCUCACAGUCAGAGUGUCCUGGCUAAGAAGCUGGGUUACUUGUUUGACAUCAAGUUGUAGAAAUUCAUCAGUUUUGUAAACUUUGGUAAAAUGCUGGUGAAUAAAGUCAUCUGCUGUUGCUUUCAGUUCAGGACAGUCCAGACACUCUGCAAGCACACUUAUACCAAGACAAUUUGAUGCGUCCACCUGUUCCUUCAAAAAAUCAACACACAUUUUCUUCACAGGUUCAAUCUGGUACUGAUUGGCUGCAUCUAACAAUGACUGGACGUUGUUGCUAUUCACAGAAAUUCUAGCAGUAUAAGCAAAUUCCACCAGCUGUUCAAUAAUACCAGGUUCAGCAUCUUUGAGUUCUACUUCAAAGGACUUAGAUUCAAGCAUGUUGGUUGUGAACAUUAAGUUAAAAAAAAGUGACUGGCUGCAGCAAGGACAACACGGUGAGCAGGAAUCUUUCUUCCCUGGACCAUGAGGAUCACAUCACACAAUGUUCUUUGCUUCCUCAUGGUGUUCAUGACGCCCAUGAAGCCCACGAGCAGCUUGGCCUCCUCGCGAGCGGCGAGUUUCUUCUCUGUCUUCUUCUUGCUGCUCUUCUCCACGCCCGAGGUGGCCAUCCGGGUUUGCCCACCACGCGCGCGGCGAGGGCUGCAGAGCACGGG
This 3841-nucleotide long non-coding RNA is filed under the name Cricetulus griseus (Chinese hamster). RNAcentral's name for it is "lncRNA (ENSCGRG00015043438.1)". Lineage: Eukaryota; Metazoa; Chordata; Mammalia; Rodentia; Cricetidae. The record is from RNAcentral.